RNAcentral lists this ribosomal RNA (746 nucleotides) under uncultured bacterium. RNAcentral describes it as "bacterial SSU rRNA". It matches the Rfam family "Bacterial small subunit ribosomal RNA", at positions 756 to 1502 of the family's 1533-position model. The record is from RNAcentral.
AAAGCAUGGGAAGCAAACAGGAUUAGAUACCCUGGUAGUCCACGCCGUAAACGAUGUCUACUUGGAGGUUGUGGCCUUGAGCCGUGGCUUUCGGAGCUAACGCAUUAAGUAGGCCGCCUGGGGAGUACGGUCGCAAGAUUAAAACUCAAAUGAAUUGNCGGGGGCCCGCACAAGCGGUGGAGCAUGUGGUUUAAUUCGAUGCAACGCGAAGAACCUUACCUACUCUUGACAUCCAGAGAAGCUUGAAGAGAUUCGAGUGUGCCUUCGGGAACUCUGAGACAGGUGCUGCAUGGCUGUCGUCAGCUCGUGUUGUGAAAUGUUGGGUUAAGUCCCGCAACGAGCGCAACCCUUAUCCUUGUUUGCCAGCACUUCGGGUGGGAACUCCAGGGAGACUGCCGGUGAUAAACCGGAGGAAGGUGGGGACGACGUCAAGUCAUCAUGGCCCUUACGAGUAGGGCUACACACGUGCUACAAUGGUAUAUACAGAGGGCAGCAAGACCGCGAGGUGGAGCGAAUCCCAGAAAGUAUGUCGUAGUCCGGAUCGGAGUCUGCAACUCGACUCCGUGAAGUCGGAAUCGCUAGUAAUCGUGGAUCAGAAUGCCACGGUGAAUACGUUCCCGGGCCUUGUACACACCGCCCGUCACACCAUGGGAGUGGGCUGCACCAGAAGUAGAUAGCUUAACCUUCGGGAGGGCGUUUACCACGGUGUGGUUCAUGACUGGGGUGAAGUCGUAACAAGGUAGCCG